AUAUUUAUAUUGUUAUUUCCUUAAUUUUUUAUUUCAUAUUGCAUAAAUAGUUGAACAAUUAAAUUAAAAACGACAUCCUCCGCAACAAAGUAUAUUUUAUUCAUGGAAAAUGCAUAAAAUAUAUGUCUUGUGGAACAAGGCAAUAACAGUAUAUUUACAAGCGUUGCACGGCUGUCUUCAGUUAAUGUCGCGAGGCUAUGGUUAGUUCCAUUAAUUAACGUAAACCCUUACUUUAUUUUUAUAUAGAGUAGUUCCCCACUAGAUUGGAUAUGAUAACAGGGACUAAGACAA
Molecule: ribosomal RNA, 291 nt
Filed under: Bulbothrix isidiza
Lineage: Eukaryota; Fungi; Ascomycota; Lecanoromycetes; Lecanorales; Parmeliaceae
Description: partial small subunit ribosomal RNA
Source: RNAcentral